UACACUCCUACGGGAGGCAGCAGUGAGGAAUAUUGGACAAUGGGUGGAAGCCUGAUCCAGCCAUCCCGCGUGCAGGAAGACGGCCCUAUGGGUUGUAAACUGCUUUUAUCUGGGGAUAAACCUACUUACGUGUAAGUAGCUGAAGGUACCAGAAGAAUAAGCACCGGCUAACUCCGUGCCAGCAGCCGCGGUAAUACGGAGGGUGCAAGCGUUAUCCGGAUUUAUUGGGUUUAAAGGGUCCGUAGGCGGACUGAUAAGUCAGUGGUGAAAUCCGACAGCUUAACUGUCGAACUGCCAUUGAUACUGUUAGUCUUGAGUAAGGUUGAAGUGGCUGGAAUAAGUAGUGUAGCGGUGAAAUGCAUAGAUAUUACUUAGAACACCAAUUGCGAAGGCAGGUCACUAAGUCUUAACUGACGCUGAUGGACGAAAGCGUGGGGAGCGAACAGGAUUAGAAACCCGUGUAGUCCCAUG
This 471-nucleotide ribosomal RNA is filed under the name uncultured organism. Its description in RNAcentral is "partial 16S ribosomal RNA". It matches the Rfam family "Bacterial small subunit ribosomal RNA", at positions 332 to 799 of the family's 1533-position model. The record is from RNAcentral.